RNAcentral lists this microRNA precursor (152 nucleotides) under Amborella trichopoda. RNAcentral's name for it is "MIR8565 microRNA precursor family". It matches the Rfam family "MIR8565 microRNA precursor family". Lineage: Eukaryota; Viridiplantae; Streptophyta; Magnoliopsida; Amborellales; Amborellaceae. The record is from Rfam by way of RNAcentral.
CCCACACUCAUGUGUAGAACCCCAAAUGAUCACUAUUAAAUUUGGCACAGAUAUCUAGAAAAGUUAUCACAUGGGUGUGGGACUUGACUUUUCUAAAAGUCUGUGUCAAAUUUAAUGGUGAUCCUUUGGGGUCUUACACACAUGGGUGUGGG